This 465-nucleotide ribosomal RNA is filed under the name Vreelandella stevensii. RNAcentral describes it as "partial 16S ribosomal RNA". It matches the Rfam family "Bacterial small subunit ribosomal RNA", at positions 338 to 795 of the family's 1533-position model. Lineage: Bacteria; Pseudomonadati; Pseudomonadota; Gammaproteobacteria; Oceanospirillales; Halomonadaceae. The record is from RNAcentral.
CCUACGGGUGGCUGCAGUGGGGAAUAUUGGACAAUGGGGGGAACCCUGAUCCAGCCAUGCCGCGUGUGUGAAGAAGGCCCUCGGGUUGUAAAGCACUUUCAGUGAGGAAGAACGCCUGGUGGUUAAUACCCAUCAGGAAAGACAUCACUCACAGAAGAAGCACCGGCUAACUCCGUGCCAGCAGCCGCGGUAAUACGGAGGGUGCGAGCGUUAAUCGGAAUUACUGGGCGUAAAGCGCGCGUAGGUGGCUUGAUAAGCCGGUUGUGAAAGCCCCGGGCUCAACCUGGGAACGGCAUCCGGAACUGUCAAGCUAGAGUGCAGGAGAGGAAGGUAGAAUUCCCGGUGUAGCGGUGAAAUGCGUAGAGAUCGGGAGGAAUACCAGUGGCGAAGGCGGCCUUCUGGACUGACACUGACACUGAGGUGCGAAAGCGUGGGUAGCAAACAGGAUUUGAUACCCCUGUAGUC